CACUUCUAAGGAAGGCAGCAGGCGCGCAAAUUACCCAAUCCUGACUCAGGGAGGUAGUGACAAGAAAUAACAAUAAACCGGCUUAUGCCGGUUUAAUUGGAAUGAGUACAAUUUAAACAUCUUAACGAGGAACAAUUGGAGGGCAAGUCUGGUGCCAGCAGCCGCGGUAAUUCCAGCUCCAAUAGCGUAUACUAAAGUUGUUGCAGUUAAAAAGCUCGUAGUUGGAUUUCUGUGGGGACGGAGCGGCCGGCCGCACGUCGCGGUUCGAGCUAGCGCUUUCCCUACAUCCUGCCGCGAACCGUGCUACCAUUAAUUUGGUGGCGCCGGGGAUCGGCUCGAUUACUUUGAGAAAAAUAGAAUGUUCAAAGCAGGCCACACGCCUUGAAUAAGUUAGCAUGGAAUAAUAACUAAGGACUUCGGUUCUAUUUUGUUGGUGUUCGGGACUGAAGUAAUGAUUGAUAGGGACAGUUGGGGCGGUCUGUAUUCCAAAGCGAGAGGUGAAAUUCUUAGACCUUCGGAAGACAAACAGCUGCGAAAGCGUUCCGCAAGGAUGUUCCCUUUGAUCAAGAACGAAAGUUGGGGGAUCGAAGACGAUCAGAUACCGUCGUAGUCUCAACUAUAAACUAUACCAGCUAGGGAUCGGCCAACGUUAUUUUAUACCGACUUGGUCGGCACCUUAUGAGAAAUCAAAGCAUCUGGGUUCCGGGGGGAGUAUGGUCGCAAGGCUGAAACUUAAAGGAAUUGACGGAAGGGCACCACCAGCCGUGGAGCCUGUGGCUUAAUUUGACUCAACACGGGAAAACUUACCAGGUCCAGACAUAGUAAGGAUUGACAGAUUGAUAGCUCUUUCUUGAUUCUGUGGGUGGUGGUGCAUGGCCGUUCUUAGUUGGUGGAGUGAUUUGUCUGGUUAAUUCCGUUAACGAACGAGACCCCAGCCUGCUAAAUAGCGCGCAUGAGCUUUGCUCGUGGCGAGCUUCUUAGAGGGACUAUGAUGCGCGAUAGCACAUGGAAGUUUGGGGCAAUAACAGGUCUGUGAUGCCCUUAGAUGUUCUGGGCCGCACACGGGCUACACUGGCGCCUGCAACGAGCAUAUCAGCUGGCCCGAGAGGGUCUUGGCUAAUCUUUUGAACCGGCGCCGUGCUUGGGAUUGACCUUUGCAAUUGUUGGUCAUGCAACGAGGAAUGCCUUGUAAACGCGAGUCAUCAGCUCGCAUUGAAUACGUCCCUGCCCUUUGUACACACCGCCCGUCGCUCCUACCGAUGAAUGUUCCGAUGAAAUUUUCGGAGAGCACCUGUGAACUUGGCUCUGCCUUGCGAACGGGAGGCUCAAAGUCACUUAAAUCUGAACAU
This 1349-nucleotide ribosomal RNA is filed under the name uncultured marine eukaryote. RNAcentral describes it as "SSU rRNA". It matches the Rfam family "Eukaryotic small subunit ribosomal RNA", at positions 411 to 1772 of the family's 1831-position model. The record is from RNAcentral.